UGAGGCACACUUCACCAAGCAGUGUAGAUAUUUCAUCUCUGCUUACUAAAAUACAGAAUUUAGUCAAGCAUUAACGUUUUAAUUACAGAUUCUCCACUCCCUCAAAUCCAUGUCCUACAGCCAUGAAUUUCCAAGCAUCUUGGAGCCAUUAACGUGGUUCAACUAAGAACAUGUGGUUACUCUGCUCAUAUCAAACAUGCUUUUGGACCUUCAUCCAGCUUUUGAUAAUCUGUUUUGUAAAUGGCUUCUCUUCUUCCUCCUUUUCACUGCUUGACCUUUGAGUAUCCAUUUAAAACAUAACUGAAUACUUGUGGAGAAGAGUGGUGACAGGAAGACUGAACUAGCAGAAAUUUGGAGAAAAGCUUAAGUCUAAGAAGCUGAGCAGCCAAAGGUCACGGUUUCAAGUCUCAGAUCAGAGUGGGGCACAGCCAAGGGGCAGCCUCUGCCUCCCAUCACUCCAACAGAGUAAGAAAGAGAAAGCCCCAGUAUCACAACGUCCCUAGGCUGGUCAACCAGCCACAGAUGCCCAGCUUCUACCCUCCAAUAAACCCUCCAAUUUACUUCUUGCUGCCAGGGCAUCUACCCAGCAUCCCAUCCUCACACUUUUCCUCUGACAAAAGUCCAGAAAGGCUCCCCACAACUCACCACAUGUGCACUACCUAGGCUGGC
Molecule: long non-coding RNA, 669 nt
Filed under: Bos taurus (domestic cattle)
Lineage: Eukaryota; Metazoa; Chordata; Mammalia; Artiodactyla; Bovidae
Description: long non-coding RNA NONBTAT001677
Source: RNAcentral